CUUGGCCCCGCCUCUUCCCCACCUCCUAUCCUGAGCACGCCAUGUACCUGCUCCUUCCCCUCCCUCCUGGAGUGUGCUAAGGCUGCCAAACUGCUGUUUGGCGGUGGCCAGGCAGGAAGCGCUGGAAGGUUUGGUGAGGUGUGCUGGGGUCUACAAAGCCCACACAGGGCCGCCGGGGUGAAGCAGCUGCUCUGGAGCCAGCCAGCCCGCCAGCCUGGCCACACCUGCGAGAGAUGCACAGACUGGAGGAGGAGCUAAAAGGGAGCAGACCUGCUCACUGGGGGGCAGGCCAGGGCUGAGAGCAGACCCACAACUCGCAGCUCCCGAGGAAUUGGCUGAGAGCAGGGACUGCCCCAGCAGGGGAGAGACUUGGCGGCCCUCACCUGGCCGCAGGGCCAAGGUACAGGGGCAGGCAGCUGCGGCCCUGAGAGAGAGAACGGCCACACCUGGCCACAAGGAGGCGCCCAGUGCAACCUGCAACCAGCCCUGGAUCCAGAGCUGGAAUCUCACCUCCUGUGGGCCACCACGCGUAGCGUGUUCACCAUGGGCAUGGACAAGGACCUUCCGAGGAGCAGGAGCAGCCUCUGGGCCCCACUCCCUCUGCUCUUGGAGCUGCUGAGAUAGGGAAUGAGGCUCUGCCUAAUGCCUAGUUGUGACUCUGGAUAGAAUGCUGAGGAGCCUGCUGGCAGCCACCCCAACACGGACCAGCUGCAACACGUCUCGGAGCACGUCGACUUCUGGAUCCAGUCCGGAGCCAAGGGAGAGCCAGGGCCGCAAGGAGCAGCACCGCCCUGCUGCGAUUCCCCACCUGCUUCCUGGGAUUUGAUGCUUCUUCAGAGGCUCCACCAGUUCUCUCCUUUCAAUCAGUGGAAAGUGCCUGCACAAUUUUCAAGGUACCAGUGGAAAAUCUGAAUGGUUGUCCUCGGAAGAAGAGAGCUGGGUGGCUCGAAUGCUUGUCUCAACAGAAGUUGGUCUCAUAAGACAUUACCUCUCCCUUCUCUAACAGGGGAAAAUACAGUCCACUGAUCCAGCCUGCCUGCUGUCCUAAAGCAGCCAUGCUGUACAUGCUGUGAUUUAUUUAGUCUGGUUCUUGGUGUUUUGCUCCAGUGAGUAAAAACCCUCCUUGGAGAAUCCAAUUUUCUGCCUACUUUAUUUUGUCACCAUUAGUGCAAGGAUCAAAGCCCUUCUGUUCGACCAAUAUGGCACCUUAGCAAUGGAAAUGUCUGCUACCACCACUUGCUUAAAACACACUCGGACAUUGCACAGGGGAUUCUGCUCUCUUUCCAUUUUCCCAGUGGUUUGAAAAACUAGUUAAAACUUACAGAGCAGGAGUUUGUUAGCAGUGGCUGAGAACUGUGAAGUCACUGUUCUUCCCAAUGUUGGUGUGAUUCUUAUUUACUCUUACCAGCUCUAGCCAGCACUGAAGUCAAACAGUACAAAUCAGUCAGCUCACUCAGCUGCCUGGACAUUCAGAACCUUUUAACAAAGCAGCCGAGUGAUCUACUCAGCAGAACCUUCUUUUUAGGUGGCUUGUUUGCAUAAUACAUCUUUUUCUAAGAAAUACCCCACAGUCCAGACCUCUGUUAACUUCACACAAUCUUACAACCCCUGCCAGCUGAGCAGCUUGGUAUAUCUCGCAUGCAUUAAUCAAGUGUGGUGAGACUCAGUUAUUAUAGACAAGGAAACUGAGGCACAGAAAGGCUAAGGGACUUGCUUGUAAGUCUUGGCUCCUAAUUCACAGUCACAUGCCCUGGCUGCCUCCCAGGAAGGGUAGGUAAAUAGGGCUAAUGCAUAAUUAAUGCUCCUACCAGCAUAGCAUCUUCUUUUUAGGGUUAUUUCAAUUUGAAGAGUCAA
Long non-coding RNA from Dermochelys coriacea (leatherback sea turtle), 1854 nucleotides. RefSeq lists it as uncharacterized. The record is from RefSeq and is a predicted model, not a curated record. The transcript has 7 exons. NCBI's taxonomy places the organism in Eukaryota, Metazoa, Chordata, Testudines, Dermochelyidae.